GAUUCCGUAGCUCAGCUUGGGAGAGCACUACCUUGACAGGGUAGGGGUCGCUGGUUCGAGCCCAGUCGGAAUCA
RNAcentral lists this transfer RNA (74 nucleotides) under Bacillus sp. FJAT-27225. RNAcentral's name for it is "tRNA-Val". It matches the Rfam family "tRNA". Rfam says of the family: Transfer RNA (tRNA) molecules are approximately 80 nucleotides in length. Lineage: Bacteria; Bacillati; Bacillota; Bacilli; Caryophanales; Bacillaceae. The record is from RNAcentral.